Molecule: long non-coding RNA, 804 nt
Organism: Triplophysa dalaica
Lineage: Eukaryota; Metazoa; Chordata; Actinopteri; Cypriniformes; Nemacheilidae
Exons: 2
Source: RefSeq, a predicted model, not a curated record
UUGGCCUUAUGACAUUGCAAAAAUCUCUUGUUCCUUGUCUAUUUUUUCAUUUAUGUAAUUUUUAUUUUCUCUAUUUAGUGGACUUCUCUGUAAGAACAUCAGGUUUUACCAGAAAUACCACUUUUACAAAGUUUACAGGGUCUUUCUCAAGGGCACCGCUAAUCUAACAUAUAUUCUUUGUCACAAUCUAGACUCUUCAUAGAAGAUGAAGACUUGCCAUGAUCAAGAAUACCAGCUAUUUGCUGAAGUUCAUCUUUCAAAACGAACAGCAUGGAGUACAGUACUCAUCAGAUGCUGUGAACAGGUGUAGCCCAAAUGCAACAGAUUCAGACUUUGAUGCAGCAAUGGCAGAUCACCUGAAGCACACUGGGGUUGAUGGAUACUUGUUUUAUGGCUGUUUUAACAGUAAUACAAGACUGUUAGGAAAUAAUUUGGUAGUGCCAUAGCUCUGACUUUUAACCAUUAAUGGUGGAACACAUGAAUCACACUCCCGGAAGAGCCGGUGGUCGGGGACCAAGAAAAUGAGUAAACAUUUUGAAAAAAAUGGACUAAAGUAGUGUCAUAUGUUUUUGUAAUACUGUACUUUUGUCAUUUUCAUGUUUGAUUAAUGGCUGCUAAACAUCAAUGUUAAACUCCAUUGCUUUCGAGAUUCUACUAUUUUUAUUUUCUUGUUUGAAUAGUAGCUGUCAAACAAAUGGAAGACCAUUCAAAAAUGUGAUGUUCACUAUAAAAUAUGCUGUGCUAAAUUAAAACACUAAAUUUUGCCUAAAUCCACAAAUAAAGUGUUAUUGUUUGUGAUGUGCA